GUCCACGCUGUAAACGAUGGAUACUUGGUGUUGAAGGUAUUGACCCCUUCAGUGCCGGAGCUAACGCGUUAAGUAUCCCGCCUGGGGAGUACGGUCGCAAGAUUAAAACUCAAAGAAAUUGACGGGGGCCCGCACAAGCGGUGGAGAAUGUGGUUUAAUUCGAUGCAACGCGAAAAACCUUACCUGGGUUUGGCAUCCUCUGAACGCCGUAGAGAUACGGAAGGCCCGAAAGGGACAGAGAGACAGGUGCUGCAUGGCUGUCGU
Molecule: ribosomal RNA, 264 nt
Filed under: uncultured bacterium
Lineage: Bacteria
Description: partial 16S ribosomal RNA
Rfam family: Bacterial small subunit ribosomal RNA
Source: RNAcentral